CUUUGCUGAGGGCAGACUAGGCGAUGGGAAGUAACGGAGAGACGGGUGCUAGGCAGCUCAGGAAAGGUGUGGACGUGUAAUUUUGGAAGGACUGAAGUGCUGGAAAGAGGAGCUCCAAGCACCUGAGGUCUGUGCGUGGCUACUGCCCCUUCCCGCCGCGCUCUCCCCGCUUUGUGCAGUUCGCCCCGUUCCCGGGGGCGCGUGGGCUGGGCGUACCCCUUUCCCGGGGGCCUUCGGCGGGGUCCCCCACUUCCCAGGGGCCGUCGGCGGGGUCUCCCUUGCGCAGUCCUGUCGCUGCUCUUGCGGCCGCGCGUUUCCCGGAGUGCGCCCUGGCUCGCUCUAGAGAGCCGAUGGGGCGGAGGCAAAUUCGGACCUUGUGGGUCUGAAGGGACUUCCUUCCGCUUGCUGGUUCGUCGGGCCUGCUGGCUGUGGUUGGAAGCCUUUUCCUGCUUUUGAAGGCUCCCUGCACGACCCUCUGGCCUCUUAGCUCCUCACGUUUCUGGGGA
Molecule: long non-coding RNA, 506 nt
Organism: Ailuropoda melanoleuca (giant panda)
Lineage: Eukaryota; Metazoa; Chordata; Mammalia; Carnivora; Ursidae
Exons: 2
Source: RefSeq, a predicted model, not a curated record